UACGUAGGUGGCAAGCGUUAUCCGGAAUUAUUGGGCGUAAAGAGCGCGCAGGUGGUUGAUUAAGUCUGAUGUGAAAGCCCACGGCUUAACCGUGGAGGGUCAUUGGAAACUGGUCGACUUGAGUGCAGAAGAGGGAAGUGGAAUUCCAUGUGUAGCGGUGAAAUGCGUAGAGAUAUGGAGGAACACCAGUGGCGAAGGCGGUUUCCUGGUCUGAUACUGACGCUGAGGCGCGAAAGUGUGGGGAGCAAACAGGAUUAGAUACCCCCGUA
RNAcentral lists this ribosomal RNA (269 nucleotides) under uncultured prokaryote. RNAcentral describes it as "partial 16S ribosomal RNA". It matches the Rfam family "Bacterial small subunit ribosomal RNA", at positions 524 to 792 of the family's 1533-position model. The record is from RNAcentral.